This 815-nucleotide ribosomal RNA is filed under the name Acidithiobacillus sp. YB18. RNAcentral describes it as "bacterial SSU rRNA". It matches the Rfam family "Bacterial small subunit ribosomal RNA", at positions 49 to 864 of the family's 1533-position model. The record is from RNAcentral. Lineage: Bacteria; Pseudomonadati; Pseudomonadota; Acidithiobacillia; Acidithiobacillales; Acidithiobacillaceae.
CUACCAUGCAGUCGACGGUAGCAGGCCUUCGGGUGCUGACGAGUGGCGGACGGGUGAGUAAUGCGUAGGAAUCUGUCUUUUAGUGGGGGACAACCCAGGGAAACUUGGGCUAAUACCGCAUGAGCCCUGAGGGGGAAAGCGGGGGAUCUUCGGACCUCGCGCUAAGGGGGGAGCCUACGUCUGAUUAGCUAGUUGGUAGGGUAAAGGCCUACCAAGGCGACGAUCAGUAGCUGGUCUGAGAGGACGACCAGCCACACUGGGACUGAGACACGGCCCAGACUCCUACGGGAGGCAGCAGUGGGGAAUUUUUCGCAGUGGGGGCAACCCUGACGAAGCAAUGCCGCGUGGAUGAAGAAGGCCUUCGGGUUGUAAAGUCCUUUCGUGGGGGACGAAAAGGUGGUUCCUAAUACGAGCUGCUGUUGACGUGAACCCAAGAAGAAGCACCGGCUAACUCCGUGCCAGCAGCCGCGGUAAUACGGGGGGUGCAAGCGUUAAUCGGAAUCACUGGGCGUAAAGGGUGCGUAGGCGGUACGUUAGGUCUGUCGUGAAAUCCCCGGGCUCAACCUGGGAAUGGCGGUAGAAACCGGCGCACUAGAGUAUGGGAGAGGGUGGUGGAAUUCCAGGUGUAGCGGUGAAAUGCGUAGAGAUCUGGAGGAACAUCAGUGGCGAAGGCGGCCACCUGGCCCAAUACUGACGCUGAGGCACGAAAGCGUGGGGAGCAAACAGGAUUAGAUACCCUGGUAGUCCACGCCCUAAACGAUGAAUACUAGAUGUUUGGUACCUAGCGUACUGAGUGUCGUAGCUAACGCGAUAAG